This 492-nucleotide ribosomal RNA is filed under the name uncultured bacterium. Its description in RNAcentral is "partial 16S ribosomal RNA". It matches the Rfam family "Bacterial small subunit ribosomal RNA", at positions 29 to 507 of the family's 1533-position model. The record is from RNAcentral.
AGUGAACGCUGGCGGUAGGCCUAACACAUGCAAGUCGAACGGCAGCACAGUAAGAGCUUGCUCUUACGGGUGGCGAGUGGCGGACGGGUGAGGAAUACAUCGGAAUCUACUUUUUCGUGGGGGAUAACGUAGGGAAACUUACGCUAAUACCGCAUACGACCUACGGGUGAAAGCAGGGGAUCUUCGGACUUUGCGCGAUUGAAUGAGCCGAUGUCGGAUUAGCUAGUUGGCGGGGUAAAGGCCCACCAAGGCGACGAUCCGUAGCUGGUCUGAGAGAAUGAUCAGCCACACUGGAACUGAGACACGGUCCAGACUCCUACGGGAGGCAGCAGUGGGGAAUAUUGGACAAUGGGCGCAAGCCUGAUCCAGCCAUACCGCGUGGGUGAAGAAGGCCUUCGGGUUGUAAAGCCCUUUUGUUGGGAAAGAAAAGCAGCAGGUUAAUACCCCGCUGUUCUGACGGUACCCAAAGAAUAAGCACCGGCUAACUUCGUG